RNAcentral lists this ribosomal RNA (2925 nucleotides) under Escherichia coli. RNAcentral describes it as "bacterial LSU rRNA". It matches the Rfam family "Bacterial large subunit ribosomal RNA". The record is from RNAcentral. Lineage: Bacteria; Pseudomonadati; Pseudomonadota; Gammaproteobacteria; Enterobacterales; Enterobacteriaceae.
GGGUUGUGAGGUUAAGCGACUAAGCGUACACGGUGGAUGCCCUGGCAGUCAGAGGCGAUGAAGGACGUGCUAAUCUGCGAUAAGCGUCGGUAAGGUGAUAUGAACCGUUAUAACCGGCGAUUUCCGAAUGGGGAAACCCAGUGUGAUUCGUCACACUAUCAUUAACUGAAUCCAUAGGUUAAUGAGGCGAACCGGGGGAACUGAAACAUCUAAGUACCCCGAGGAAAAGAAAUCAACCGAGAUUCCCCCAGUAGCGGCGAGCGAACGGGGAGGAGCCCAGAGCCUGAAUCAGUGUGUGUGUUAGUGGAAGCGUCUGGAAAGGCGCGCGAUACAGGGUGACAGCCCCGUACACAAAAAUACACAUAUUGUGAGCUCGAUGAGUAGGGCGGGACACGUGGUAUCCUGUCUGAAUAUGGGGGGACCAUCCUCCAAGGCUAAAUACUCCUGACUGACCGAUAGUGAACCAGUACCGUGAGGGAAAGGCGAAAAGAACCCCGGCGAGGGGAGUGAAAAAGAACCUGAAACCGUGUACGUACAAGCAGUGGGAGCACGCUUAGGCGUGUGACUGCGUACCUUUUGUAUAAUGGGUCAGCGACUUAUAUUCUGUAGCAAGGUUAACCGAAUAGGGGAGCCGAAGGGAAACCGAGUCUUAACUGGGCGUUAAGUUGCAGGGUAUAGACCCGAAACCCGGUGAUCUAGCCAUGGGCAGGUUGAAGGUUGGGUAACACUAACUGGAGGACCGAACCGACUAAUGUUGAAAAAUUAGCGGAUGACUUGUGGCUGGGGGUGAAAGGCCAAUCAAACCGGGAGAUAGCUGGUUCUCCCCGAAAGCUAUUUAGGUAGCGCCUCGUGAAUUCAUCUCCGGGGGUAGAGCACUGUUUCGGCAAGGGGGUCAUCCCGACUUACCAACCCGAUGCAAACUGCGAAUACCGGAGAAUGUUAUCACGGGAGACACACGGCGGGUGCUAACGUCCGUCGUGAAGAGGGAAACAACCCAGACCGCCAGCUAAGGUCCCAAAGUCAUGGUUAAGUGGGAAACGAUGUGGGAAGGCCCAGACAGCCAGGAUGUUGGCUUAGAAGCAGCCAUCAUUUAAAGAAAGCGUAAUAGCUCACUGGUCGAGUCGGCCUGCGCGGAAGAUGUAACGGGGCUAAACCAUGCACCGAAGCUGCGGCAGCGACGCUUAUGCGUUGUUGGGUAGGGGAGCGUUCUGUAAGCCUGUGAAGGUGUGCUGUGAGGCAUGCUGGAGGUAUCAGAAGUGCGAAUGCUGACAUAAGUAACGAUAAAGCGGGUGAAAAGCCCGCUCGCCGGAAGACCAAGGGUUCCUGUCCAACGUUAAUCGGGGCAGGGUGAGUCGACCCCUAAGGCGAGGCCGAAAGGCGUAGUCGAUGGGAAACAGGUUAAUAUUCCUGUACUUGGUGUUACUGCGAAGGGGGGACGGAGAAGGCUAUGUUGGCCGGGCGACGGUUGUCCCGGUUUAAGCGUGUAGGCUGGUUUUCCAGGCAAAUCCGGAAAAUCAAGGCUGAGGCGUGAUGACGAGGCACUACGGUGCUGAAGCAACAAAUGCCCUGCUUCCAGGAAAAGCCUCUAAGCAUCAGGUAACAUCAAAUCGUACCCCAAACCGACACAGGUGGUCAGGUAGAGAAUACCAAGGCGCUUGAGAGAACUCGGGUGAAGGAACUAGGCAAAAUGGUGCCGUAACUUCGGGAGAAGGCACGCUGAUAUGUAGGUGAAGUCCCUUGCGGAUGGAGCUGAAAUCAGUCGAAGAUACCAGCUGGCUGCAACUGUUUAUUAAAAACACAGCACUGUGCAAACACGAAAGUGGACGUAUACGGUGUGACGCCUGCCCGGUGCCGGAAGGUUAAUUGAUGGGGUCAGCGCAAGCGAAGCUCUUGAUCGAAGCCCCGGUAAACGGCGGCCGUAACUAUAACGGUCCUAAGGUAGCGAAAUUCCUUGUCGGGUAAGUUCCGACCUGCACGAAUGGCGUAAUGAUGGCCAGGCUGUCUCCACCCGAGACUCAGUGAAAUUGAACUCGCUGUGAAGAUGCAGUGUACCCGCGGCAAGACGGAAAGACCCCGUGAACCUUUACUAUAGCUUGACACUGAACAUUGAGCCUUGAUGUGUAGGAUAGGUGGGAGGCUUUGAAGUGUGGACGCCAGUCUGCAUGGAGCCGACCUUGAAAUACCACCCUUUAAUGUUUGAUGUUCUAACGUUGACCCGUAAUCCGGGUUGCGGACAGUGUCUGGUGGGUAGUUUGACUGGGGCGGUCUCCUCCUAAAGAGUAACGGAGGAGCACGAAGGUUGGCUAAUCCUGGUCGGACAUCAGGAGGUUAGUGCAAUGGCAUAAGCCAGCUUGACUGCGAGCGUGACGGCGCGAGCAGGUGCGAAAGCAGGUCAUAGUGAUCCGGUGGUUCUGAAUGGAAGGGCCAUCGCUCAACGGAUAAAAGGUACUCCGGGGAUAACAGGCUGAUACCGCCCAAGAGUUCAUAUCGACGGCGGUGUUUGGCACCUCGAUGUCGGCUCAUCACAUCCUGGGGCUGAAGUAGGUCCCAAGGGUAUGGCUGUUCGCCAUUUAAAGUGGUACGCGAGCUGGGUUUAGAACGUCGUGAGACAGUUCGGUCCCUAUCUGCCGUGGGCGCUGGAGAACUGAGGGGGGCUGCUCCUAGUACGAGAGGACCGGAGUGGACGCAUCACUGGUGUUCGGGUUGUCAUGCCAAUGGCACUGCCCGGUAGCUAAAUGCGGAAGAGAUAAGUGCUGAAAGCAUCUAAGCACGAAACUUGCCCCGAGAUGAGUUCUCCCUGACUCCUUGAGAGUCCUGAAGGAACGUUGAAGACGACGACGUUGAUAGGCCGGGUGUGUAAGCGCAGCGAUGCGUUGAGCUAACCGGUACUAAUGAACCGUGAGGCUUAACCUUACAACGCCGAAG